GAACCAUCUAGUAGCUGG
RNAcentral lists this small nuclear RNA (18 nucleotides) under Arabidopsis thaliana (thale cress). RNAcentral's name for it is "snRNA_04624". Lineage: Eukaryota; Viridiplantae; Streptophyta; Magnoliopsida; Brassicales; Brassicaceae. The record is from RNAcentral.